CCUACGGGUGGCUGCAGUGGGGAAUAUUGCACAAUGGGGGAAACCCUGAUGCAGCGACGCCGCGUGAGGGAUGACGGCCUUCGGGUUGUAAACCUCUUUCAGUAGGGAAGAAGCCUUCGGGUGACGGUACCUGCAGAAGAAGUACCGGCUAACUACGUGCCAGCAGCCGCGGUAAUACGUAGGGUACAAGCGUUGUCCGGAAUUAUUGGGCGUAAAGAGCUCGUAGGCGGUUCGUCGCGUCUGCUGUGGAAACGCAAGGCUCAACCUUGCGCGUGCAGUGGGUACGGGCGGACUAGAGUGCAGUAGGGGAGUCUGGAAUUCCUGGUGUAGCGGUGAAAUGCGCAGAUAUCAGGAGGAACACCGGUGGCGAAGGCGGGACUCUGGGCUGUAACUGACGCUGAGGAGCGAAAGCAUGGGGAGCGAACAGGAUU
Molecule: ribosomal RNA, 431 nt
Filed under: uncultured bacterium
Lineage: Bacteria
Description: bacterial SSU rRNA
Rfam family: Bacterial small subunit ribosomal RNA
Source: RNAcentral